Molecule: ribosomal RNA, 2473 nt
Filed under: human gut metagenome
Description: bacterial LSU rRNA
Rfam family: Bacterial large subunit ribosomal RNA
Source: RNAcentral
UAAAGCAAGAAAGGGCGUAUGGGGAAUGCCUAGGCACACUCCGGCGAAGAAGGACGCAGCAAACAGCGAAAUGCGACGGUGAGCGGUAAGCACGUGAAGAGCCGUCGAUAUCCGAAUGGGGGAACCCACACGGAGUCAUAUCCGUGUAUCACAUGUCGAAUACAUAGACAUGAUGAGGCGAGACGCAGGGAACUGAAACAUCUAAGUACCUGCAGGAAGAGAAAAUAAGAAUGAUUUUCUGAGUAGCGGCGAGCGAAAGGGAAAGAGCCCAAACCGAUCUGAGGAUCGGGGUAGUAGGAUCAUCAAUAAAUCUGACAGAGGAUCAUAGAGGAAUCACAUGGGAAGGUGAGCGAGAGAGGGUGAGAGCCCCGUACUCGAAAUGAGAGACUGGAGAGAGAUGACACCUGAGUAGGGCGGGACACGAGGAAUCCUGUCUGAAUCGGCCGGGACCAUCCGGCAAGGCUAAAUACGAGAGUAGUGACCGAUAGUGAACCAGUACCGUGAGGGAAAGGUGAAAAGAACCCCGGGAGGGGAGUGAAAGAGAACCUGAAACCAUAUGCCUACAAGAAGUCAGAGCCCGUUAAAGGGUGAUGGCGUGCCUUUUGUAGAAUGAACCGGCGAGUUACUGUAUGGAGCGAGGUUAAGCAGGAUAUGCGGAGCCGAAGCGAAAGCGAGUCUUAAGAGGGCGAAAGUUGCAUGCAGUAGACCCGAAACCGGGUGAUCUAGCCAUGACCAGGUUGAAGUUGGGGUAAAACCCGAUGGAGGACCGAACCGACCCCCGUUGAAACGUUGGCGGAUGAGUUGUGGCUAGGGGUGAAAUUCCAAUCGAACCCGGAGAUAGCUGGUUCUCCCCGAAAUAGCUUUAGGGCUAGCGUCGAGGUAGAGAGUUGCGUGAAGGUAGAGCACUGAAUAUGUGAUGGCCCCAUCUCGGGGUACUGAGCAUAAUCAAACUGCGAAUGUCACGGAAACAUACUCGGCAGUCAGACAGCGGGUGAUAAGGUCCGUUGUCAAGAGGGAAACAGCCCAGACCAUCAGCUAAGGUCCCAAAAUGUAUGCUAAGUGGAAAAGGAUGUGGAGAUGUACAGACAACUAGGAGGUUGGCUCAGAAGCAGCCAUCCUUUAAAGAGUGCGUAACAGCUCACUAGUCGAAUGACUCUGCGCCGAUAAUUUACCGGGGCUAAGCAUACUACCGAAGCUAUGGAUCCCAAGGGAUGGUAGGGGAGCGUUCCAUGAACGGAGAAGCGUGAUCGAGAGGACGCGUGGAGAUCAUGGAAGAGAGAAUGCCGGUGUGAGUAGCGGAACGUGGGUGAGAAUCCCACGCACCGAAAACCCAAGGUUUCCAGAGGAAGGUUCGUCCGCUCUGGGUAAGUCGGGACCUAAGGCGAGGCCGAAAGGCGUAGUCGAUGGACAACAGGUAGAGAUUCCUGUACCCGUAUAUAUGUGAAGGAAUGACGGAGAGAGGAAGCUGCAGCCAGCGGCUGGAAGAGCUGGUGCAAGCGAGAUAUCGGGAUGGCAGGCAAAUCCACCAUCCGAAACGAGAAGGCGUGAAGCGUACGGAAAGCUACGGCGAGUACGGAAGGCAGUGGAGGAACUUCCAAGAAAAGUUUCUAACGUUAAGUAUAUAUGGCCCGUACCGAAAAUGGACACACAUGGGUGAGGAGAGAAUCCUAAGGUGAGCGAGAGAACUAUAGCUAAGGAACUCUGCAAAAUGACUCCGUAACUUAGGGAGAAGGAGUGCUCAUAGAGAUAUGAGCCGCAGUGAAACGGCCCAAGCGACUGUUUACCAAAAACACAGCUCUCUGCUAAGCCGCAAGGCGAAGUAUAGGGGGUGACGCCUGCCCGGUGCUGGAAGGUUAAGGGGAGGGGUUAACGCAAGUGAAGCCCUGAACUGAAGCCCCAGUAAACGGCGGCCGUAACUAUAACGGUCCUAAGGUAGCGAAAUUCCUUGUCAGGUAAGUUCUGACCCGCACGAAAGGCGUAACGAUUUGGGCGCUGUCUCAGCUGUAGACUCGGUGAAGUCUUAGUACCUGUGAAGAUGCAGGUUACCCGCGACUAGACGGAAAGACCCCAUGGAGCUUCACUGCAGGUUGAUAUUGGGAUUUGAUGCAGCAUGUACAGGAUAGGUAGGAGGCAAGGAGAUGGAUACGCCAGUAUUCAAGGAGCCGCUGUUGGGAUACUACCCCUGUUGUAUUGGAUUUCUAACCGGACGACGUAAAGCCGUUGACGGGACAGUGUCAGUCGGGCAGUUUGACUGGGGCGGUCGCCUCCCAAAGAGUAACGGAGGCGCCCAAAGAUACCCUCAGCUUGGAUGGAAACCAAGCGCAGAGUGCAAAGGCAAAAGGGUGUUUGACUGCGAGACCCACAAGUCGAGCAGGGACGAAAGUCGGGCUUAGUGAUCCGGCGGUGCUGAAUGGAAAGGCCGUCGCUCAACGGAUAAAAGCUACCCUGGGGAUAACAGGCUGAUCUCCCCCAA